AAUGAAUAUCUUUCAGGGCGGAUGGAGUAGAGUUAGCCUCGUCCACUAGCUACCUUUGGUCGGCUCUACUUAUUGAGACUCACAACAGAUGACGCCCAAAGAGAUUAUCCAAGGCUCUGAGGCGCUAUAUAAUAAGGUAACUAGUACAAAUCAAGACUACCCUGGGUACCAGAGCCUCGUCACGGCAUUUUGGCUGAGCGUCACUGGACGAGAGAAGUCUGGAGGCUCCAGGGUAAAAUCAAGACGUGGACGUCUUGAUUUGGCACGAGGCUAGGGUUAAUUAAGCCCUCUAUCCAUUGGAGGCCUGUGUAACAACCGAAACAAUGUUCUUCGCUGUAUGAUUAUUUCGACCAAAGUGUUUGUAGUGGCUUAUCACGCAAGCAGUCAGAAUUUGCGUCAAUGUGACAUUGCGGAGCAGUAGUCUGAUAAAAGUACACCGUAUUCAGGAAAAGUUCUUCCCUUCUCAUCACCAUUCUUCUGUCAGUUUUAUAUAACGCAGCUCGAUUCCGAAAUGAGGGCACGUUAGGGGAAAAUGGAUAUGAAAAAUGUAGAUAUGACUCACCAGUAAGGGCUGACGCUAGGAGGAUACCAACGAACGCAGUCAAACAUACUCUUCGCAACAUGGAGAUGCGAUUAAAUUCAGAUGAUGGAGGAUACAAAACCAGGCCAAAUCUGCCUCCACAUCAAGAAAGCAAUGCCGUCUCGUGGUAUGGCAGAUUCUUGUGUUCGUGUAUGGGUGAUGGGCGGCAAAGACACAAGAGUAGACUGUCUGGUGCUUUCUUGACAGAGAAGGCAGUAAUGUGCAGUGGCGCCGUCAUUAAAGACGACCUAAGAAAACGGCAACAUUCUAUCUCUUUUUAGGAAAGCACGCUUUAGUGAAUUUGCGAGAGAUGUAAUAUUUGCAGCACAAUCUAAAGUACAAGACAUCGACUUAAACGUAGUGACAUAUUUUCCAAGAAAACGAGAGGCAGAGGCGGUGGUAAUACACGAUGCCAGUUGCCCCUCACUCAUCAAGAUGAGUCGAGCGUGGCUUGUAUCGUCUAGGCGGCUCGUCAACAAUCAUCGUCAUCGAGGCGUGUUCACGGAGAAGAGCGACGAGAAAGUCGUGCUUAAUUCGCAUGGUGUUACUCGCGCCUUGACUCGAUAAUCAGCCGUUUGCAUAUCCAUGAGGGCGCUCGGUAUGAUUGGAUAUUUUCUUUUCAAUGCUAGGCUAUUUUAAAAUUGACGAAGUUCUCUGGGCAUGUUAUUUUCUCACAGAUCAAAUGUUGGCACAGUUGUUAAGGGUAAUUCCCACCGCAUCUCUCUGGAACGUCCGUGACGAGCCGUUUGAGCCCAUGAUAUCAAAGUAAUGGAUUAAACUGUUGAACUUGUGUAUAGUCGUUCCCUAAACGAUGACCUUAUUAUAAAAUGAAGCGGUCCAGCUCAAAUUAUCGCGCAUUACUCUAAUAAAACGUAUUUUGCUGCUAUCUAAGCCUCUGUAUAUUUUAAGAAUUUGUGAAAUCUCAAGCUGAAUGUUAUUAUAAAGAAGUUCUUAUAAAAAUAAAGAUUGUAAUUCUC
Long non-coding RNA from Nematostella vectensis (starlet sea anemone), 1557 nucleotides. RefSeq lists it as uncharacterized. The record is from RefSeq and is a predicted model, not a curated record. The transcript has 3 exons. Lineage: Eukaryota; Metazoa; Cnidaria; Anthozoa; Actiniaria; Edwardsiidae.